Felis catus (domestic cat) is the source of this 85-nucleotide transfer RNA. It matches the Rfam family "tRNA". Rfam says of the family: Transfer RNA (tRNA) molecules are approximately 80 nucleotides in length. Their secondary structure includes four short double-helical elements and three loops (D, anti-codon, and T loops). The record is from Rfam. NCBI's taxonomy places the organism in Eukaryota, Metazoa, Chordata, Mammalia, Carnivora, Felidae.
GCCCGGGGGGCUCAGUCGGUUGAGUGUCUGACUUCAGCUCAGGUCAUGACCUCACAGUCCGUGGGUUCGAGCCCCGCGUCGGGCA